This 449-nucleotide ribosomal RNA is filed under the name uncultured bacterium. Its description in RNAcentral is "partial 16S ribosomal RNA". It matches the Rfam family "Bacterial small subunit ribosomal RNA", at positions 29 to 523 of the family's 1533-position model. The record is from RNAcentral.
AACGAACGCUGGCGGCAUGCCUAACACAUGCAAGUCGAACGAAGGCUUCGGCCUUAGUGGCGCACGGGUGCGUAACGCGUGGGAAUCUGCCCCUCGGUUCGGGAUAACAGUUAGAAAUGACUGCUAAUACCGGAUGAUGACUUCGGUCCAAAGAUUUAUCGUCGAGGGAUGAGCCCGCGUAAGAUUAGGUAGUUGGUGGGGUAAAGGCCUACCAAGCCGACGAUCUUUAGCUGGUCUGAGAGGAUGAUCAGCCACACUGGGACUGAGACACGGCCCAGACUCCUACGGGAGGCAGCAGUGGGGAAUAUUGGACAAUGGGCGAAAGCCUGAUCCAGCAAUGCCGCGUGAGUGAUGAAGGCCUUAGGGUUGUAAAGCUCUUUUACCAGGGAUGAUAAUGACAGUACCUGGAGAAUAAGCUCCGGCUAACUCUGUGCCAGCCGCCGCAGUAA